GACGAAGGGGGCUAGCGUUGUUCGGAAUUACUGGGCGUAAAGCGUGUGUAGGUGGUUGUCCAAGUUGGAUGUGAAAGCCUUGAGCUCAACUCAAGAAAUGCAUUCAGGACUGGAUGGCUAGAGGACCGGAGAGGAUAGUGGAAUUCCCAGUGUAGUGGUGAAAUACGUAGAGAUUGGGAAGAACACCAGUGGCGAAGGCGGCUAUCUGGACGGUUUCUGACACUAAGACUCGAAAGCGUGGGGAGCGAACAGG
RNAcentral lists this ribosomal RNA (253 nucleotides) under uncultured bacterium. RNAcentral's name for it is "partial 16S ribosomal RNA". It matches the Rfam family "Bacterial small subunit ribosomal RNA", at positions 524 to 776 of the family's 1533-position model. The record is from RNAcentral.